UACAGAGGGCGCAAGCGUUAUCCGGAAUUAUUGGGCGUAAAGAGCUCGUAGGCGGUUUGUCGCGUCUGCCGUGAAAGUCCGGGGCUCAACUCCGGAUCUGCGGUGGGUACGGGCAGACUAGAGUGAUGUAGGGGAGACUGGAAUUCCUGGUGUAGCGGUGAAAUGCGCAGAUAUCAGGAGGAACACCGAUGGCGAAGGCAGGUCUCUGGGCAUUAACUGACGCUGAGGAGCGAAAGCAUGGGGAGCGAACAGG
This 253-nucleotide ribosomal RNA is filed under the name uncultured bacterium. RNAcentral describes it as "partial 16S ribosomal RNA". It matches the Rfam family "Bacterial small subunit ribosomal RNA", at positions 524 to 776 of the family's 1533-position model. The record is from RNAcentral.